UAAAAAACCAAAAGUAGCUCCCCUGCUUUUAAUAACAUAAAAGUUUGAGUUUAAAAGCCAAUCCAAACAUACUCUUCUUGUGAAUAUCCAAAAGACCAAAAGAGGGAAUUAAUUCCUAAAGAACUUUGUUACAAGUUGAUGAUCCAGAAAUAACUUGUACAUUUGAUGUGGUUGUUUGAACAGGAAGCAGCACCAUUUUUCUCAGUUUAACAUCGGGCUUAACUGUUCAAGAGAGACCUUGCUCUUUAGGAAGCAACAUCAUUUAUCUCAAGCUGCGAAGUUCAAACUCAGUCGUUCAUUCAUCUGGUCUGAGCUACUACAUUUUGCUACAACAUUUGCUAUUUAUAUUUAAUUAGUGUAUCAAAUAGACUGCAUAUAUGUUUUCAGCUUCAAUUUGUGUUGCUCAAAUCGGUACGUUAUUGUAAUGUUUACCAGCUUGUUAUAAUUUUAUGUGCUAAAUGUGUAAAUAUGUAACAAAGGGAACAAAUCAUGUGAUAUAACAUAACCUAUUGAUGCUA
Molecule: non-coding RNA, 518 nt
Organism: Solanum lycopersicum (tomato)
Lineage: Eukaryota; Viridiplantae; Streptophyta; Magnoliopsida; Solanales; Solanaceae
Source: RefSeq, a predicted model, not a curated record